RNAcentral lists this ribosomal RNA (440 nucleotides) under uncultured bacterium. Its description in RNAcentral is "partial 16S ribosomal RNA". It matches the Rfam family "Bacterial small subunit ribosomal RNA", at positions 338 to 795 of the family's 1533-position model. The record is from RNAcentral.
CCUACGGGUGGCAGCAGUGGGGGAUAUUGCACAAUGGGGGGAACCCUGAUGCAGCGACGCCGCGUGGGUGAAGAAGCGCCUCGGCGCGUAAAGCCCUGUCAGCAGGGAAGAAAAUGACGGUGCCUGAAGAAGAAGCCCCGGCUAACUACGUGCCAGCAGCCGCGGUAAUACGUAGGGGGAUAGCGUUAUCCGGAUUGACUGGGGGUAAAGGGGACGCAGACGGCGAUGCAAGCCAGGAGUGAAAGCCCGGGGCCCAACCCCGGGACUGCUGUUGGAACUGCGUGGCUGGAGUGCAGGAGGGGAAGGUGGAAUUCCAGGUGUAGCGGUGAAAUGCGUAGAUAUCAGGAGGAACACCAGUGGCGAAGGCGGCCCGCUGGACUGCAACUGACGUUGAGGCUCGAAAGCGUGGGGAGCAAACAGGAUUAGAUACCCUGGUAGUC